GAGUGUGAAAAUAUUAGUUUUGCAAAAGCUAUUUAGAAUUAUUUUUAGUUCCACGCUUU
This 59-nucleotide transfer RNA is filed under the name Taenia crassiceps. RNAcentral's name for it is "tRNA-Cys". Lineage: Eukaryota; Metazoa; Platyhelminthes; Cestoda; Cyclophyllidea; Taeniidae. The record is from RNAcentral.